AUGAACGUUGGCGGCGUGGAUUAGGCAUGCAAGUCGAAUGCGAAAGGGGGUAACUCCAAGUAGCAUGGCGAAAGGGGCAGUAACACAUAGGUAACCUGCCCUCAGGACCGGGAUAUACGGUGGAAACGCCGGGCAAUACUGGACGUCGUCGCGGGUCGGCAUCGAUCUGCGAUGAAAGGUUUACUGCCUGAGGAGGGGCUUAUGUCCUAUCAGCUAGUUGGUGAGGUAACGGCUCACCAAGGCGACGACGGGUAGGGGGUGUGAGAGCAUGGCCCCCGUCACUGGAACUGAGAUACUGUCCAGACUCCUACGGGAGGCUGCAGUCGAGAAUCUUCGGCAAUGGGCGAAAGCCUGACCGAGCGACGCCGCGUGGAGGAUGAAGGCCUUCGGGUUGUAAACUCCUGUUGGGGGGGAACAAUAUCGAGUGAACCCCUGAGGAAGCACGGGCUAAGUUCGU
RNAcentral lists this ribosomal RNA (457 nucleotides) under uncultured bacterium. Its description in RNAcentral is "bacterial SSU rRNA". It matches the Rfam family "Bacterial small subunit ribosomal RNA", at positions 29 to 506 of the family's 1533-position model. The record is from RNAcentral.